RNAcentral lists this ribosomal RNA (795 nucleotides) under uncultured Pelagibacteraceae bacterium. Its description in RNAcentral is "bacterial SSU rRNA". It matches the Rfam family "Bacterial small subunit ribosomal RNA", at positions 40 to 883 of the family's 1533-position model. The record is from RNAcentral. Lineage: Bacteria; Pseudomonadati; Pseudomonadota; Alphaproteobacteria; Candidatus Pelagibacterales; Candidatus Pelagibacteraceae.
CGGCACGCCUAACACAUGCAAGUCGAACGAAGUAGCAAUACUUAGUGGCAGACGGGUGAGUAACAUGUAGGUAUCUGCCCUUUGGCCUGGAAUAACACGAGGAAACUUGUGCUAAUACUGGAUAAGUCUUUACGGAGAAAGCUUUAUGCACCAUUGGAUGAGCCUGCACUUGAUUAGUUUGUUGGUGGGGUAAUGGCCUACCAAGACUGUGAUCAAUAGCUGAUUUGAGAGGAUGAUCAGCCACAUUGGGACUGAGACACGGCCCAAACUCCUACGGGAGGCAGCAGUGGGGAAUCUUGCACAAUGGAGGAAACUCUGAUGCAGCGAUGCCGCGUGAGUGAAGAAGGCCUUUGGGUUGUAAAGCUCUUUCGUCGGGGAAGAAAAUGACUGUACCCGAAUAAGAAGGUCCGGCUAACUUCGUGCCAGCAGCCGCGGUAAUACGAAGGGACCUAGCGUAGUUCGGAAUUACUGGGCUUAAAGAGUUCGUAGGUGGUUGAAAAAGUUGGUGGUGAAAUCCCAGAGCUUAACUCUGGAACUGCCAUCAAAACUUUUCAGCUAGAGUAUGAUAGAGGAAAGCAGAAUUUCUAGUGUAGAGGUGAAAUUCGUAGAUAUUAGAAAGAAUACCAAUUGCGAAGGCAGCUUUCUGGAUCAUUACUGACACUGAGGAACGAAAGCAUGGGUAGCGAAGAGGAUUAGAUACCCUCGUAGUCCAUGCCGUAAACGAUGUGUGUUAGACGUUGGAAAUUUAUUUUCAGUGUCGCAGCGAAAGCGAUAAACACACCGCCUGGGGAGUAC